Molecule: ribosomal RNA, 440 nt
Filed under: uncultured bacterium
Lineage: Bacteria
Description: partial 16S ribosomal RNA
Rfam family: Bacterial small subunit ribosomal RNA
Source: RNAcentral
CUACGGGAUGCUCCAGUAGGGAAUAUUGGGCAAUGGGCGCAAGCCUGACCCAGCAACGCCGCGUGCGCGAAGAAGGCCUUCGGGUCGUAAAGCGCUUUUCUGAGGGAUGAGAAAGGACAGUACCUCAGGAAUAAGCCUCGGCUAACUACGUGCCAGCAGCCGCGGUAAAACGUAGGAGGCGAGCGUUAUCCGGAUUUACUGGGCGUAAAGCGUGUGCAGGCGGUCUGGCAAGUUGGAUGUGAAAGCUCCCGGCUCAACUGGGAGAGGUCGUUCAAAACUACCGGACUAGAGUGUAUCAGAGGGAGAUGGAAUUCCCGGUGUAGUGGUGAAAUGCGUAGAUAUCGGGAGGAACACCAGUGGCGAAAGCGAUCUUCUGGGAUACUACUGACGCUCAGACACGAAAGCUAAGGUAGCGAACGGGAUUAGAUACCCGAGUAGUC